GAUGAACGCUGGCGGUAUGCCUAACACAUGCAAGUCGAACGGAUGUCUUCGGACAUUAGUGGCGGACGGGUGAGUAACGCGUGAGAAUCUGCCUUCAGGAUGGGGACAACAAUUGGAAACGAUUGCUAAUACCCGAUAUGACGAAAGUUGAAAGAUUUAUCGCCUGGAGAUGAGCUCGCGUCAGAUUAGCUAGAUGGUGUGGUAAAGGCGCACCAUGGCGACGAUCUGUAGCUGGUCUGAGAGGAUGAGCAGCCACACUGGGACUGAGACACGGCCCAGACUCCUACGGGAGGCAGCAGUGGGGAAUUUUCCGCAAUGGGCGCAAGCCUGACGGAGCAAUACCGCGUGAGGGAGGAAGGCUCUUGGGUCGUAAACCUCUUUUCUCAGGGAAGAACAAAAUGACGGUACCUGAGGAAUCAGCAUCGGCUAACUCCGUGCCAGCAGCCGCGGUAAUACGGAGGAUGCAAGCGUUAUCCGGAAUGAUUGGGCGUAAAGCGUCCGUAGGUGGUUAUGUAAGUCUGUGGUUAAAGCGUGGGGCUCAACCCCAUAAGGGCCAUGGAAACUACAAGACUUGAGUAAGGUAGGGGUAGAGGGAAUUCCCAGUGUAGCGGUGAAAUGCGUAGAGAUUGGGAAGAACACCGGUGGCGAAAGCGCUCUACUGGACUUAAACUGACACUGAGGGACGAAAGCUAGGGGAGCGAAAGGGAUUAGAUACCCCUGUAGUCCUAGCCGUAAACGAUGGAUACUAGGUGUUGCCCG
RNAcentral lists this ribosomal RNA (759 nucleotides) under uncultured cyanobacterium. RNAcentral's name for it is "bacterial SSU rRNA". It matches the Rfam family "Bacterial small subunit ribosomal RNA", at positions 28 to 829 of the family's 1533-position model. The record is from RNAcentral. Lineage: Bacteria; Bacillati; Cyanobacteriota.